GGGGUGGUAGGGGUGUAUGAUUGUAGGGAUGGUAGGGUUGUAUGUUGGGAGGGAUGGUAGGGAGGUAUGCUAGUUGGGCCGAUAUGACUGGUAGGGAUUUAAGGAUGUAUCCAGGUAGGGCUGGUUGAGAUAUAUCCUGGAAGGGUUGGUAGGGGUGAUAGGGAUGGUUGGGAGGUAUGCUAGUUGUAAGGAUGUAUCCAGGUAGGGCUGGUUGAGAUAUAUCCUGGAAGGGUUGGUAGGGGUGAUAGGGAUGGUUGGGAGGUAUGCUAGUUGUAAGGAUGUAUCCAGGUAGGGCUGGUUGAGAUAUAUCCUGGAAGGGUUGGUAGGGGUGAUAGGGAUGGUUGGGAGGUAUGCUAGUUGUAAGGAUGUAUCCAGGUAGGGCUGGUUGAGAUAUAUCCUGGAAGGGUUGGUAGGGGUGAUAGGGAUGGUUGGGAG
RNAcentral lists this long non-coding RNA (435 nucleotides) under Salmo salar (Atlantic salmon). RNAcentral's name for it is "lncRNA (ENSSSAG00000098963.1)". Lineage: Eukaryota; Metazoa; Chordata; Actinopteri; Salmoniformes; Salmonidae. The record is from RNAcentral.